This 520-nucleotide ribosomal RNA is filed under the name uncultured bacterium. RNAcentral describes it as "partial 16S ribosomal RNA". It matches the Rfam family "Bacterial small subunit ribosomal RNA", at positions 28 to 507 of the family's 1533-position model. The record is from RNAcentral.
GACGAACGCUGGCGGCGUGCCUAAUACAUGCAAGUCGAACGCACUCUCGUUUAGAUUGAAGGAGUUUGCUCCUGAUUGAUAAACAUUUGAGUGAGUGGCGGACGGGUGAGUAACACGUGGGUAACCUGCCCUAAAGUGGGGGAUAACAUUUGGAAACAGAUGCUAAUACCGCAUAAAACCUAACACCGCAUGGUGUAGGGUUGAAAGAUGGUUUCGGCUAUCACUUUAGGAUGGACCCGCGGUGCAUUAGUUAGUUGGUGAGGUAAAGGCUCACCAAGACCGCGAUGCAUAGCCGACCUGAGAGGGUAAUCGGCCACACUGGGACUGAGACACGGCCCAGACUCCUACGGGAGGCAGCAGUAGGGAAUCUUCCACAAUGGACGAAAGUCUGAUGGAGCAACGCCGCGUGAGUGAAGAAGGUUUUCGGAUCGUAAAACUCUGUUGUUGGAGAAGAAUGUAUCUGAUAGUAACUGAUCAGGUAGUGACGGUAUCCAACCAGAAAGCCACGGCUAACUACGUG